CAUAACGACUCUCGGCAACGGAUAUCUCGGCUCUCGCAUCGAUGAAGAACGUAGCGAACUGCGAUACUUGGUGUGAAUUGCAGAAUCCCGUGAACCAUCGAGUCUUUGAACGCAAGUUGCGCCCGAAGCCAUUCGGUCGAGGGCACGUUU
RNAcentral lists this ribosomal RNA (150 nucleotides) under Siphoneugena densiflora. Its description in RNAcentral is "26S ribosomal RNA". It matches the Rfam family "5.8S ribosomal RNA". From Rfam's summary of the family: 5.8S ribosomal RNA (5.8S rRNA) is a component of the large subunit of the eukaryotic ribosome. It is transcribed by RNA polymerase I as part of the 45S precursor that also contains 18S and 28S rRNA. The record is from RNAcentral. Lineage: Eukaryota; Viridiplantae; Streptophyta; Magnoliopsida; Myrtales; Myrtaceae.